RNAcentral lists this ribosomal RNA (447 nucleotides) under uncultured bacterium. Its description in RNAcentral is "bacterial SSU rRNA". It matches the Rfam family "Bacterial small subunit ribosomal RNA", at positions 342 to 807 of the family's 1533-position model. The record is from RNAcentral.
CGGGAGGCAGCAGUUAGGAAUCUUCGGCAAUGGGCGAAAGCCUGACCGAGCGACACUGCGUGGAGGAUGAAGGUUUUCGGAUCGUAAACUCCUGAACGAGGGACGAAAAAUGACGGUACCUCGCUAAUAGCACCGGCUAACUCCGUGCCAGCAGCCGCGGUAGUACGGAGGGUGCGAGCGUUAUCCGGAAUCACUGGGCGUAAAGGGCGCGUAGGCGGUUUGUUAAGUCCGAUGUUAAAGCGUGAGGCUCAACCUCAUAUGAGCGUUGGAUACUGGCGAGCUGGACGGUUGGAGAGGAAGGUAGAAUUACCAGUGUAGCGGUGGAAUGCGUAGAUACUGGUAGGAAUACCCAUUGCGAAGGCAGCCUUCUGGACAACACGUGACGCUGAGGCGCGAAAGUGCGGGGAGCAAACCGGAUUAGAUACCCGGGUAGUCCACACCCUAAAC